AUUGAACGCUGGCGGUAGGCCUAACACAUGCAAGUCGAGCGGAUGAAGGGAGCUUGCUCCUGGAUUCAGCGGCGGACGGGUGAGUAAUGCCUAGGAAUCUGCCUGGUAGUGGGGGAUAACGUCCGGAAACGGGCGCUAAUACCGCAUACGUCCUGAGGGAGAAAGUGGGGGAUCUUCGGACCUCACGCUAUCAGAUGAGCCUAGGUCGGAUUAGCUAGUCGGUGGGGUAAAGGCCUACCAAGGCGACGAUCCGUAACUGGUCUGAGAGGAUGAUCAGUCACACUGGAACUGAGACACGGUCCAGACUCCUACGGGAGGCAGCAGUGGGGAAUAUUGGACAAUGGGCGAAAGCCUGAUCCAGCCAUGCCGCGUGUGUGAAGAAGGUCUUCGGAUUGUAAAGCACUUUAAGUUGGGAGGAAGGGCAGUAAGUUAAUACCUUGCUGUUUUGACGUUACCAACAGAAUAAGCACCGGCUAACUUCGUG
Molecule: ribosomal RNA, 484 nt
Filed under: uncultured bacterium
Lineage: Bacteria
Description: partial 16S ribosomal RNA
Rfam family: Bacterial small subunit ribosomal RNA
Source: RNAcentral